GCUUCCAUAGCUCAGUAGGUAGAGCACUUCCAUGGUAAGGAAGAGGUCGCCGGUUCGAGCCCGGCUGGGAGCU
RNAcentral lists this transfer RNA (73 nucleotides) under Caldibacillus debilis. RNAcentral describes it as "tRNA-Thr". It matches the Rfam family "tRNA". From Rfam's summary of the family: Transfer RNA (tRNA) molecules are approximately 80 nucleotides in length. Their secondary structure includes four short double-helical elements and three loops (D, anti-codon, and T loops). The record is from RNAcentral. Lineage: Bacteria; Bacillati; Bacillota; Bacilli; Caryophanales; Bacillaceae. RNAcentral also lists the same sequence under 1 other name.